This 729-nucleotide ribosomal RNA is filed under the name uncultured eukaryote. Its description in RNAcentral is "SSU rRNA". It matches the Rfam family "Eukaryotic small subunit ribosomal RNA", at positions 672 to 1426 of the family's 1831-position model. The record is from RNAcentral.
UGGCCAUGUUGGUUAACAGAUCCUCAUUUGCUGGAUAAUUGGCGAUGAUCUUUAUCGGUUGUCGUCAGUUGCCAGAACGUUUACUUUGAGAAAAUUAGAGUGCUAAAAGCAGGCUCACGCCUAUAUAUAUUGCAUGGAAUAAUGAAAUAAGAUCUCGAUUUUAUUUCGUUGGUUUUAGAAAUUGAGAUAAUGAUUAAUAGGAUCAGAGGGGGGCGUACGUACUGUGGUGUGAGAGGUGAAAUUCUUGGAUCGCCACAGGACGAACAGCAGCGAAGGCGUUCGCCAAGAAUGUUUUCAUUAAUCAAGAACGAAAGUUUGAGGUUCGAAGACGAUUAGAUACCGUCCUAGUUCAAACCAUAAACGUUGCCAACUGUCCUUUAGAUGCGGUUAUUUAUAUGACUCAUCUGGCGGAUCUCGAGAAAUCUAAGUUUUUAGGUUCCGGGGGAAGUAUGGUUGCAAAGCUGAAACUUAAAAGAAUUGACGGAAGGACACACAAGAAGUGGAGCCUGUGGCCUAAUUUGACUCAACACGGGAAACCUUACUCGGCCAGGACACUUUUAGGAUUGACAGAUUGAGAGCUCUUUCUUGAUUAGGUGGGUGGUGGUGCAUGGUCGUUCGUAGUUCGUGGAGCGAUUUGUCUGAUUAAUUUCGAUAACGAACGAGACUCCGGCUUACUAAAUAGUCUAAAGUUCGAAGGGACUUUUCAAGACUUCUUAGCAGGAUAAAUGG